ACAGGCACAAAGGAGAGGCAAGGUGCAAGGUGGAGAAAGGAGAGAAUUGCUGACCUCAGGGUGAGUCAGUGCGGGAAGGGGCAGGAGCGCGGGAUGCCUUGGGUCUCUUGGUUCUUCCAGAUCAUCUUAAAUUGACGGGAGUGACAGCAGCUCUGGGAAACGAAUCUCCUUUCUAUCACCAGAAGAUAUGCAACUCCAGCAUAAGCGUUUUCAUGCCGUUCUGCCAAGUUGCAGAUUUGAUCUCUUCUGAGCUCCUUGCAGCAUCUGGACUAUUGGGACUUUGAAUUCUGCAGGCUGCUACCAUUCAUUUCCCAGGAUCGUACCUGCCCUUUUUCUCCUCACUGCCUCCCACGCUCCCCUUCCCUCCGAAAAGACUC
RNAcentral lists this long non-coding RNA (377 nucleotides) under Struthio camelus australis. RNAcentral describes it as "lncRNA (ENSSCUG00000001750.1)". Lineage: Eukaryota; Metazoa; Chordata; Aves; Struthioniformes; Struthionidae. The record is from RNAcentral.